CAUUACCGAGUUUACAACUCCCAAACCCCUGUGAACAUACCACUUGUUGCCUCGGCGGAUCAGCCCGCUCCCGGUAAAACGGGACGGCCCGCCAGAGGACCCCUAAACUCUGUUUCUAUAUGUAACUUCUGAGUAAAACCAUAAAUAAAUCAAAACUUUCAACAACGGAUCUCUUGGUUCUGGCAUCGAUGAAGAACGCAGCAAAAUGCGAUAAGUAAUGUGAAUUGCAGAAUUCAGUGAAUCAUCGAAUCUUUGAACGCACAUUGCGCCCGCCAGUAUUCUGGCGGGCAUGCCUGUUCGAGCGUCAUUUCAACCCUCAAGCACAGCUUGGUGUUGGGACUCGCGUUAAUUCGCGUUCCUCAAAUUGAUUGGCGGUCACGUCGAGCUUCCAUAGCGUAGUAGUAAAACCCUCGUUACUGGUAAUCGUCGCGGCCACGCCGUUAAACCCCAACUUCUGAAUGUUGACCUCGGAUCAGGUAGGAAUACCCGCUGAACUUAAGCAUAUCAAUA
Molecule: ribosomal RNA, 510 nt
Filed under: Fusarium oxysporum
Lineage: Eukaryota; Fungi; Ascomycota; Sordariomycetes; Hypocreales; Nectriaceae
Also listed under: 1 other name
Description: eukaryotic LSU rRNA
Rfam family: 5.8S ribosomal RNA (bases 154-307)
Source: RNAcentral